Molecule: unclassified non-coding RNA, 335 nt
Filed under: soil metagenome
Description: partial contains 5.8S ribosomal RNA, internal transcribed spacer 2, and large subunit ribosomal RNA
Rfam family: 5.8S ribosomal RNA (bases 5-121)
Source: RNAcentral
GAUGGAAGAACGCAGCGAAAUGCGAUAACUAGUGUGAAUUGCAGAUUUACGUGAAUCAUCGAGUCUUUGAACGCACAUUGCGCUCCUUGGUUUUCCAGGGAGCAUGUCUAUCCGAGCGUCGUUGCAACUCUCAAGCCCAGCUUGGUCCUGGAGGGCGUCCCGUUCCGCGGGGCCCCUCCCAAACGCAACUCACGUCGUGCCCAUUCGGUCGGAGCGCAGCAGAUUUGCAGCCCCGUCCGGCGUCGUCGCGAGCCGCCCCCGUGCGGACUUCUCAAGGUUGACCUCGGAUUAGAUAAGGAUACCCGCUGAACUUAAGCAUAUCAAUAAGCGGAGGA